AACGUAGGACGCAAGCGUUAUCCGGAGUUACUGGGCGUAAAGCGCGUGUAGGCGGCUUUGCAAGUCGGGCGUGAAAUCCCACGGCUCAACCGUGGAAGUGCACUCGAAACUGCAGAGCUAGAGUCCUGGAGAGGAAGGUGGAAUGCUUGGUGUAGAGGUGAAAUUCGUAGAUAUCAAGCGGAACACCGGUGGCGAAGGCGGCCUUCUGGACAGUGACUGACGCUGAGACGCGAAAGCGUGGGGAGCAAACAGG
This 253-nucleotide ribosomal RNA is filed under the name uncultured bacterium. RNAcentral's name for it is "partial 16S ribosomal RNA". It matches the Rfam family "Bacterial small subunit ribosomal RNA", at positions 524 to 776 of the family's 1533-position model. The record is from RNAcentral.